ACGCUCGACACCUGAGGCAGCAGUAGGGAAUCUUCCACAAUGGACGCAAGUCUGAUGGAGCAACGCCGCGUGAGUGAAGAAGGUUUUCGGAUCGUAAAGCUCUGUUGUUGGUGAAGAAGGAUAGAGGUAGUAACUGGCCUUUAUUUGACGGUAAUCAACCAGAAAGUCACGGCUAACUACGUGCCAGCAGCCACGGUAAUCUGAGCGGGCUGGCAAGGC
RNAcentral lists this ribosomal RNA (219 nucleotides) under uncultured bacterium. RNAcentral describes it as "partial 16S ribosomal RNA". It matches the Rfam family "Bacterial small subunit ribosomal RNA", at positions 333 to 539 of the family's 1533-position model. The record is from RNAcentral.